This 400-nucleotide long non-coding RNA is filed under the name Aquilegia coerulea. Its description in RNAcentral is "long non-coding RNA (ACOE_LNC000441)". Lineage: Eukaryota; Viridiplantae; Streptophyta; Magnoliopsida; Ranunculales; Ranunculaceae. The record is from RNAcentral.
GUAUACAAUAAUACCAGCAACAACACCCGAUCUCAAAAAUGUUAGCAAAAACAAACUAAAAGAUCAUAACAGAUCUAAUCCAAUUGAAUCAAUAUAUUCAUAUGCUAAUCACAAUAAACACUCAUAUGCUGACCUCGCGACACCAUAGUCAGUACACAAUCAAUAGUAGAGUAUUAUAAUUCAAAAUGUAUUUCAUUAAGUAGGGAGCCUAAUAUGUUACUUCACAUAUCAGCCCACUACUACUGUAAUAAGACUUCACAAGUGAUUUGAACCAUUUCUCCAUAUGAUACACAGACCAAUAGUAUAUAAAUUAAUAUUUUUGGUGCGGCAGAAAACACAAUUUCGAAUUCAAGUUCAAAUCGAUAUAAAUUCAACAUUAGUAAAUGGAGCCAUUAACGAA